This 253-nucleotide ribosomal RNA is filed under the name uncultured bacterium. RNAcentral describes it as "partial 16S ribosomal RNA". It matches the Rfam family "Bacterial small subunit ribosomal RNA", at positions 524 to 776 of the family's 1533-position model. The record is from RNAcentral.
UACGUAGGGGGCAAGCGUUGUCCGGAUUCAUUGGGCGUAAAGAGCGUGUAGGCGGCCUGACAGGUCUGCUGUGAAAACUCGAGGCUCAACCUCGAGAUGUCGGCGGAAACCGUCUGGCUAGAGUCCGGAAGAGGAGAGUGGAAUUCCUGGUGUAGCGGUGAAAUGCGCAGAUAUCAGGAAGAACACCAAUGGCGAAGGCAGCUCUCUGGGACGGUACUGACGCUGAGACGCGAAAGCGUGGGGAGCGAACAGG